Coturnix japonica (Japanese quail) is the source of this 6795-nucleotide non-coding RNA. Lineage: Eukaryota; Metazoa; Chordata; Aves; Galliformes; Phasianidae. The record is from RefSeq and is a predicted model, not a curated record.
CUGACUCUGAGAAGAAGGAUUUGGGAGCAUCAGUUGAUGAAAGACUCAGUGUGAGCCAGCAGUGUGUGCUUGCAGCCCAGAAGGCCAACCAUAUCCUGGGUUUUAUCAAGAAAAGUGUGACCAUCAGGUUGAGGGAUGUGCUUCUUGCCCUCUGCUCUGCUCUUGUGAGACCUAACCUGGAGUACUACAUCCAGUUCUGGGGCCCCUGUCACAAGAUGGACAUGGAGUUCUUUGAGCAGGUCCACAGAAGAGCCGCGAAGAUUAUCGGAGCAUCUCCCCUGUGUGGACAGGCUGAGGAAGCUGGAAUUCUUCAAACUGGUCAAGAGAGGGCUCCAGGGGGAACCUUGUAGCAGCCUUCCAGUACCUAAAGGGGGCCUUACAUGAAAGCUGGGAAGGGACUUUUUAUAAGGAUAUGUAGCGACAGGACAAGGAGAAGGGUUUUAAACUGGAAGAGGGUAGAUUUACACUAGAUAUUAGGGAGAAUAUUAGGGAGAAAAUUAGGGUGAUGGGACACUGGAACAGGUUGCUUAAUGAGACUGUGGAUUCCCCCUUCCUGGAAGCAUUCACGGCUAGGCUGAAUGGGGCUGUGAGUAACCUGGUCUAGAGGUCCCUGUCUAUAGCAGGGGGGUGGGAACCAGAUGACUGUAGAGGUCCCUUCCAACCCAAAGCAUUCUAUGAUUCUGUGACCCUUGGUGAACAUUUAUGGAGACCAGACCAGUGGAUGUGAGCACAGUGAGGUAUUGGGUGGUGAAUUUCAGCAGAGGUGACAGCAAGCAACAGUAGGUCACCUCUGCUGGUGCAAGUUUUUAUGACUGUAGUAUACAGGCUUUUGUUCAUCGCUGGCAAAAAUGCACAGCUAAUGGUGGUGUCUAUGUUGAAAAAUAGUGUUUUGUAGCUGAGAAUUUGCUUUAUCAAGUAGUGUUAUUGAAAUAGAUAGGAGACAUUACUUUUGGAGUGACAUACAGAAUUAUGAAUUUUUGCAAGAAAUGAAAUAAAAUUUUGGCUGGAGAUACCCAGCUGGAAAAUAAUGUCAUGGAGUUUCUUUAAUUUUGUGAAUUAAAAAGAAAUAUCAUCCUCACAUCAAAGUUUAUAAUAAAUACCAUUAUUUUGUGUCUUCUUUGCUGUACUGCAAAUUAGUCUAUUAGCACUUCUUGUUUUUCUUAUUGUGUUUCUGACUUGCAUUUGUUUCAAUAGGGAUAGUGAUGGCAUAGAUCUAAAAUAAAUUAAAAUUCUACUGCCACUCCCAGUCUAGAAUUUUGAGUGACAACUGAGACUGUCUCUCAAACUAAAUAGUCUAUUUCAAAACAGUAAAAAUCCCCCUACCCAAGACGGAUGUCUCACCAGUUAUCUGGUUAGUAUUUAUCUGGUUUAAAAUCCAGCCUAGUCUGAUCAUCUGCUCUAUCGCUGGUGCUGGAUGGGAACCAAAUAUACUUUUAGAAGUUGUUUUGGAUGUUUGUACCCCACUACCGAAUAAUUAAAAUAGUAUUUUCACUAAGAGGAAUGCAUUUCUGAAGUACUUCUGAGAUAUCAAAAAAAUCCAGAUAUUCUUCUGCUGUUUUAAUUUUUUUAUUUUAUUUUCAGUGAAUAGCUACCUAUCUGUUGUCCAAAAAUUCAGCUAGAUCUGGCACAAUACCAAAGACUUAAAAUUGGGGCUGCAUGAAUGUUGUGCCAUUUGGGUGCUCACUGCAGCUUGGAAGAGGAUAUUCAGCACCAUGCUGCAAAAUCUAGAGUAGAAAUCAAACCCUUGAAAAACAGUUUUCCUCACAAAAAUCAAUCUCUUUUACACUUGUUUGAUUCACAUCUUUUGCACCUCCUUUGCAGACACUGUUACGUUGGUGCUCACUUUUUUUCGUGGAACACAUGCCAUUUCUGUACAAUGACAGCAACAGAAUGUUGUAUUAGCAAAUGAUUCAUGAGCUCUAAAUUUCCCAUUUCAGACAAACUAGAAAUUAUAGAUUUUAAAAAUGAUUUUGGUAUUAAAAUCUGUGGCCCAGCUAUCAGUCCAUCAGUCAAAUAAACACCAUCUAAUAUGAUAAAGGAUAGAUUUUGUUUUCGGAUGUGUUACAUAUGCAGAGUAAACAAGCUCUCCUACACUUAAUAAGGAAAGUCUCUCUGCAGUAUUAUAGAAACACAUAAUAUCCCAAAAUCAAGUGUCCCAAAUUCUGCCAUCCUUGUUCUUUUCAACAUUUUAAUAAGUUCAAAACUUGUUUGUCCUCCUUGGAAGAAUGCAUCAAUCUCUGUUGUCUCUGAUAAUGAGGAGUUUAUUUUGGAGAAUUGGAUAUCACAGUUACUGUGAAAAACAUUGCAGGGAGACAUCUAGAAAUCUCUGAGUAUGAGCAGCCUGCAUGCUGCCAGUUUAGCUCUGCCUUUGAUAGAAUUGAGUUGGAGGUGAUAAUUCUUCCUCCUGAGCUAACAAUUCCUGAUGAUUACUUGGAUACCUGUGUUACAAUCCUACUAAGGUGGAUGCUGGGAGUAUGUAUAGCCUGAGGCACUGUUCAACACAGAGUCUGCUUGUAUACAUGCAUGUCAUACAACAUCUGAGAUUCUGUGAGAGGUGGAGGGCAGCAAAACAUGGGACAAACUGUCCCUGUCACAUCUGCAGAUCAUGUUGCUAUUCACAGGUCACAGCCCUUGCAUGAGAACAGGUACCUACAAAGAUGUUUUUCAGAUGCUUUGUCUGUGAGCAGUAGCUUUAUAGUUACAGCACUUGACAGGGAACUGAAUUUUUCAUUUUGGGUUUAAUUUGGAUGAGAAUGUUCAAAUUCCAUGUCUCUAUGUCUCUGCAGAGUGCACUGCAGUACCUGUGUGGUGCUUCCAUAUGGUUACUCUGGGCUUCCACAGUCAUUUUACAGGUGUCAGGGUUGUUGGAUGAGAAGGGAUGUGGGUAUCAGGCCUUGGACAAUGUCUGUCUGUAGACUGUGAAUGAAAGAGGUGCCAUUGUAUGGUAGUUUAUAUUUCUGUGAUUAGCCAACUUACUGCUGUCCUUCCCUUUCUCUGCAUCCAGCUUGAUGGACCAGUGGCACACACAGAUACAUACAAAAAGUUUUUAGUCUUCUAAGUUUUGUUCUGCUUCCUUUUUAUUCCAGAAUCAUCCUUCACAUCUUGAACUCUUCUGAUUUGAUAGUGAUUAUUAUCUUUGUUUAAUCAGUGAAUUUCAUGACAACUGUCCUUCUUUAAUCUCUUCCAGAAGUAGCUAAUGGAGAUACUACACAGGAUCUGUCAAAUUAGAUAAAUAUACUCUUAAUGAAGUCUGUGAGUUGUCUCUCUUUAGCUUGGUAAUGUCCCUUUCAAAUGAACAUGGAAGAACAUGCAGAUGAAGUCAAAUCUCUGUUGAAUGGUUUGUGGCCAACUGGACAGACUUCCCAGAAAUCCUUUCAUCUGCCAGCUGCAAGAGCGUUUUCCCAUGUGAUGCUGAAAUAUACAUAAAGGAAAGUGACCCAGAGAAGAGGGAUUAAAGAACCUCUGUAUCCUCUUUUGCCUGAACAGUGUGAGCUGCUCUGGGGAAUGGUCAGCUCUGCCCUUCAGACUGCAAUUGCAUCCAGCUGUGUGUGCUAUGCAGGUUUCUUGUUCACUGGGUGAUCUUGAAGUGGCCUUGCUAAAAGCUCUCUGCCAUUUCCAAAGGAGAUAAAUCUACCUAGAGCCCUGGGAAGCAGAAUUGCUCUUCUUUUUUGAAGGCACUGAAGGGCCAGUAGUGAACUGGCAGUGAUCAUGACAGAGCCCCUCAUCACUCCAGCCCUCAGCACAUGGGCCCAGGUGUCAUGGAUGAUAUGCUCUGCUGAGGAAGAUCACAGUGAUCUUGAUAUGAUGGUGCAGGUACAACUUUUCAAGCAUUCUUUUUCAGAGGAUGGUAAUUCACCUCAUGGCAGCUCUUGUGGUGUCAUCAUUGUUUUUGGUUGGCAUGGGAACAGAACCUUUUAAGUGCUUCUCUUAAAUGAUUUUGGUUUGUGAUGAAAAAUCUUGCGUUUUCAAACUGGGCUGUCUCUCCCAUAAGAACUGACUAAUAGCCUUGCAUCUUGAAUCCCUCACUAAUUAAAACUUCACCUAAACAGAUGUUUUUUCCAUACAAUUGAAUUUCGGCUCUGAAAUAAGCAGCAUAUUUUGAUGAGAUUUAAUGUCACGGAAGUGAUCUGACCAGCUCCAGAUAUCCAGAUAUAUACUUUAGAUAUGUGCAGAUAGUUUUGACUGCCUAGAAAGAACCACCUAGUAGACAGAGAGGAUUUGGCAAAAGCAAUUAUCUUUUAUCUCAGUUCAGUUUCAAACCAUUUGUGAGGAUUCAAGAUCAUGCUUUGGUAAAAUAAACAGAUAUGGCCUAAACUGCAGCAAGAAACUGAAUUUUAAACGACAAAUAUAUCUAUGUAUUGUUUGUGUUGCAGUGAAAAUUAAUAUUACACUGCUAGAGAAUUCUGUCCACUUCUGUAACAAAUGAAAAAGAGAGAGAAUUAUAGGACAUUAUAUUCUGUGGAGCAAUGUGACUAGUGAGGCAGAACUCGAUCCACAAUUGCCAAGUUACAACCUGAUAAUACUCUAUCAAUUCUGCACGAUACCAAUCCAGGACACUGCUUCAUAAUCUGAGCAAUUACUUCAAGCGAUUCAGCAGAGCCCCAAGAUCUACUGUAUCAAAAGCAGCAGAAAGAUCCAUCAGCAGGAGUACUGUAAUUUAACUUGAAUCAGCAGCUGGUGAUAAAUCAUUUGUGACCUUAAGUAAAGCAAUCCCAGGACUCUGGUACUCCCUGAAGCUAAACCGAAACUUCUCAUAUAAUCCAUUCACUGACAAAAUUGCUACUAGUAAAAGGGCAACCACUUGCUUCAGUCCUUCCCUUCCUUGUAUUCCAGGAAAGAGGGCUAGUUCAGUUAUUGCCAGGUAGAACAGAGUCCUACAAUAUAAGAUAGGGGAAGCUUUUACCAUUUCUACUAACAAAGAACAGCUGCAAAUUUCAGCAGAUCAGGAGACUUGCAGCAAGCAAAGAGUCAUUAACCAAGUUAGCUAUAAAUGAAGUAAAGCACUGAAAGAGUGUCUGCAAGCAGCCAUAUGGGCCAAGAGUCAAAACUAGGAGUAAUGGAGCAUGAUUGCUUUCCCAACUGUGUGAUCUCAGCAAGAAGCAAAUACAAAUGUAUAACACUUGCACAUACAGGCUCUGGUAGCAUAAUUAUCAGCCACAGCACUGAACAGUCGCAGCUGAUUAGAAAUUCACUCUGUACUUGCUGAAUUCCUCACAGUAGGCAGCUGAAAGAUUGUGCACAAGGAGUGAUUUGUGGUUCAAAAUAUGAUCAAUAGCACAAAAUAAGGCUUCAGGUCUGUUUUUCCUCAUUAAUAACAGGACAAGAAUACAUAGACUUGGCUGGAUCAAAAGCAAUGUGCUGAGACUCUACAUCAUCUCAGUGCUUCAGGAGACUAAUUUCUGAACUAAACAGUCUUUGAAAUGAUUCCACAUCACGAGCUUCCGUCCCUACCUUAGUCAGGUCCUGUGAUCACCAGGCAGACAAAGACAGGCACAGAAAACUGAGGACAACUCAGGAGCUUCACAGACUGUUUUUAAUUGGGGGGAAACAAAAGAAAAAAUAUCACAAUUUGUACAAGAUGGUGAGGUGGAUUCAUUUUAUGUGUAAUAAACUUUGGUUCUCAUUUAUUCUAACUGUCCUGGAAGAUCUUCUAGAGACUAUCAUGAGAGAUACAAGACAAAUUACAAAUUUUUUAUCCCUUUCACACAAUUUGUCAUGUUACAGGCAUCAACACGGGACUAACUUGACUCUACCUUUAAUACAGGUCAUCUUCUAGAAGUCAUCUUAUUAUGCUACAGUUUUUAAGUUGGACUGCCCAAACAGUUAAAAUAUUUUCCUCGUAAUGAAGGAAAAAUCAAACCAAUUCUCAUGCUAGAUAUAGUGGAAACAAAGCAAAGAAAUAGAGAAUAAUAAUAAUAAUAAAAGUACCACCACUCCCAAAGAGUCAUUGAUUUUAUACUGACUGCAUCUAGGCUGAUUUUUAAUGGUCCGGGUCCAGGACUCCAUUAGUGUUUAAUAAAUGAUAUCCUACCUGCACAAUACAUGUGAAGCUCCCAUUGAUUUCAAUGUGAGCUCUUGGUGUAGACUGAUGGCAGGAUAUUCCUGUGACAGAGAUGAAUUUUCCAUUAGAACAAAAUGAGGAAGGCCUGUCUCAGUCAGCAGAAUUCACAGCAACAAGAAAUGUUCCUUGGGGGCUCAGUGAAAGAUGCCCAUCCUGGGUGGUGGAAAGUAAAUUGGGUGGGAAGCGGUGAGGCAUACUUGGACGGCUGUAAAACCAAUUAGAACCAUCAUGCAGUUAUAUUGAUGUUUAAUUUGUAUUAUCUGGAAACCACAAGUUCCUUUUUCAUCACACUGUGGGGGAAAUUGCUGUUCUUUUUUAUUUGAAGGCAAAGAGCACGUUUAAUAUUGGGGUAGAAGGGAGAGUGUGUAUGUCUUGUACUGUGUCUUGAUAACCACCUUUCACUCAGAAUAGAUAAAGGAAAAAUGAAAUACCAUUAAUUAUAAACAAUGGAGAACCACUACCCAUACAGAAAUUUGGACAAUGACACAAAGAAUUCAGCUGAAUGUUUUCCUUCAAGGAUUUUGUUAAAAAUGCAGUCAAUGAGUUGAUGUGAAGUCAGCUUUACAUGUUUCAGAGAAGCAGCUAAGUACAACAGGGGCAGGGAGAAACCUCCCAUAGUGUUUCUCAGAAAAAAAUGGGGAAGGAAAUCUUUUGGCAAAGAAUUGUUUGAAAACACCUGAAUCUGUAAGCCAAGAAAAGGUCUUGCAAUUUUGGCAUUGCUUUUAUUGUGGAAA